This 541-nucleotide long non-coding RNA is filed under the name Salvia miltiorrhiza (redroot sage). Its description in RNAcentral is "long non-coding RNA (SMIL_LNC010945)". Lineage: Eukaryota; Viridiplantae; Streptophyta; Magnoliopsida; Lamiales; Lamiaceae. The record is from RNAcentral.
AGCAGGAGUUUAACGGUAAAAUAUUACCGCCUUUUUUUAAAUUUUAGUUUUCUUUAUACUGUAACUAUCUUUCGCUAUUCCUACGGCAAAACCAUUUUCGCCUCUCUUUCCACUAUAGAAGUGGAUAUUCCUAUAUCAACUUUAGCCAAUCUAAAAAUCAUUUUCGUUACAAAAAAAAAAAAAAACAAUUUUCGUCUCUCUUUCCACUUUAGCCAAUCUUACCCCUUUUCAAUUUCUUUUUUACUUUUUCUUUUAAAUAAUUGUGUUGUUUGGUCAAUGAUAAAAAAUUUAUUAUAUAUAAAAAUUAAAUAUAAGAGAUAGAUGAUAAAAUUAUUCAUAAAUAUUUUCAUCCUCAUUUUUUCAUUUGUCAAUUGUACUAAAUAAAGGCGAGACACCAAACUAUGGAAAAAUAAGAAGAAAACAUAAUCCUUUUAUUGGUAAAAAAAAUACAAGAAGAAAAAUACUUAUCCCUUUUCAAUUUCUUUUUUGAGUUUCUUUUUUACUUUUUUUUUUAAAAUAAUUGUGUUGUUUGAUCAAUAAU